CUAAACUGAGGAAAGUCGGCCGAAACUGAUCGACUCGAGGAACGUAGAGGGAAGCGGAACUCUCGGAGUAGCGGUGAAAUGCGUAGAGACCGAGAGGUACCCCGAUGGUGAAGACAGCUUCCUGGGCGUUUCCUGACGCUGAAGCACUAAGGCCAGGGGAGCGAAGGGGAUUAGAUACCCCCGUAGUCCUGGCUUCAAACGAUGUGGGCUUGGUGUCGGCCCCCGACAGAGGGUCGUUGCCGGAGCUAACGUGCUAAGCCCACCGCCUGGGGAUUACGUCCGCAAGGAUGAAACUCAAGGGAAUUGACGGGGGCCCACACAACCGGUGGAGCACGUGGUUUAAUUCGAUGAUAAGCGAAGAACCUUACCAGGGCUUGACCUGGCGGCAGUAGGACCCCGAAAGGGGAACGACCUCAAGCUUUGCUUGAGGAGC
RNAcentral lists this ribosomal RNA (433 nucleotides) under uncultured bacterium. RNAcentral's name for it is "bacterial SSU rRNA". It matches the Rfam family "Bacterial small subunit ribosomal RNA", at positions 608 to 1041 of the family's 1533-position model. The record is from RNAcentral.